CCGGCGCACGGGUGAGUAACGCGUGUGCAACCUGCCCGGCACAGUGGGAUAAUCCGGAGAAAUCCGGUCUAAUACCGCAUGACGCGGGAAGGGCGCAUGCCUUUUCCGCCAAAGGAGGCGACUCCGGUGCCGGCUGGGCACGCGUGACAUUAGCUAGUUGGCGGGGCGACGGCCCACCAAGGCGACGAUGUCUAGGGGUUCUGAGAGGAAGGUCCCCCACACUGGUACUGAGACACGGCCCAGACUCCUACGGGAGGCAGCAG
Molecule: ribosomal RNA, 263 nt
Filed under: uncultured bacterium
Lineage: Bacteria
Description: partial 16S ribosomal RNA
Rfam family: Bacterial small subunit ribosomal RNA
Source: RNAcentral